Molecule: ribosomal RNA, 745 nt
Filed under: uncultured bacterium
Lineage: Bacteria
Description: bacterial SSU rRNA
Rfam family: Bacterial small subunit ribosomal RNA
Source: RNAcentral
ACGCUGGCGGCAGGCCUAACACAUGCAAGUCGAGCGGUAGAGAGAAGCUUGCUUCUCUUGAGAGCGGCGGACGGGUGAGUAAUGCCUAGGAAUCUGCCUGGUAGUGGGGGAUAACGUCCGGAAACGGACGCUAAUACCGCAUACGUCCUACGGGAGAAAGCAGGGGACCUUCGGGCCUUGCGCUAUCAGAUGAGCCUAGGUCGGAUUAGCUAGUUGGUGGGGUAAUGGCUCACCAAGGCGACGAUCCGUAACUGGUCUGAGAGGAUGAUCAGUCACACUGGAACUGAGACACGGUCCAGACUCCUACGGGAGGCAGCAGUGGGGAAUAUUGGACAAUGGGCGAAAGCCUGAUCCAGCCAUGCCGCGUGUGUGAGGAAGGUCUUCGGAUUGUAAAGCACUUUAAGUUGGGAGGAAGGGCAGUAAAUUAAUACUUUGCUGUUUUGACGUUACCGACAGAAUAAGCACCGGCUAACUCUGUGCCAGCAGCCGCGGUAAUACAGAGGGUGCAAGCGUUAAUCGGAAUUACUGGGCGUAAAGCGCGCGUAGGUGGUUCGUUAAGUUGGAUGUGAAAUCCCCGGGCUCAACCUGGGAACUGCAUUCAAAACUGACGAGCUAGAGUAUGGUAGAGGGUGGUGGAAUUUCCUGUGUAGCGGUGAAAUGCGUAGAUAUAGGAAGGAACACCAGUGGCGAAGGCGACCACCUGGACUGAUACUGACACUGAGGUGCGAAAGCGUGGGGAGCAAAC